AUGGGCACAAAUACAGAGGAAAUGAGAGGUUCACGUCUGAGCACAACUCCGGUGUCACAAAUUCAAUGUUGUGGACAAUUGCAGAUGAAGAGGAAUGUGACACCUCUUUGAUCAGAAGAGCAACAGAUACUUUGAGGACAUCAGGAGGGAAUCUAAGUUAUC
Molecule: long non-coding RNA, 162 nt
Organism: Melanotaenia boesemani (Boeseman's rainbowfish)
Lineage: Eukaryota; Metazoa; Chordata; Actinopteri; Atheriniformes; Melanotaeniidae
Exons: 3
Source: RefSeq, a predicted model, not a curated record